Molecule: ribosomal RNA, 633 nt
Filed under: uncultured fungus
Lineage: Eukaryota; Fungi
Description: eukaryotic LSU rRNA
Rfam family: 5.8S ribosomal RNA (bases 211-364)
Source: RNAcentral
GGAAGGAUCAUUAACGAAUUGUAAUGGGGGCUUGAUGCUGGCAAGUUAUCUUGAAAUGUGCUCGCUUCCAACAAUUUUAUCUUAAACACCUGUGCACCCUUUGAAAGGGGGGGAUUCCAAGUGGAUUUUUCUUGGAAUUCUCUCUUCUUCACAUACACACCGAUUACAAUGUUGAACGUGCUCGUGCCGAUAAGGCCUUAAUAAAAAUACAACUUUUAACAACGGAUCUCUUGGCUCUUGCAUCGAUGAAGAACGCAGCGAAAUGCGAUAAGUAAUGUGAAUUGCAGAAUUCAGUGAAUCAUCGAAUCUUUGAACGCACCUUGCGCUCCCUGGUAUUCCGGGGAGCACGCCUGUUCGAGUGUCGUGAAAUUCUCAAGCUGGACCACUUUUGUUUAGAAAGAGUGGGCCUUAGUUUGGUUAUUGGGCUUUGCCAUUCCUGCCAUUGGAAUUGGCUGGCCUUAAAAGCAUUAGCUGAUCCUCAUGUGGCAAUUGGUUCUACUCAGCGUGAUAAUAAUAAUCUGACCGCCGAGGACAUCUCUCGAGGUGGCCAAUUCUCGUUUGGGUUGCUUUCUAAUCUGGUUUUACGGAUUUUCACAAAUCUGUUCCACUUUUCAAUUUUGACCUCGAAUCAGG